RNAcentral lists this ribosomal RNA (427 nucleotides) under Salmonella enterica subsp. enterica serovar Infantis. RNAcentral's name for it is "partial 23S ribosomal RNA". It matches the Rfam family "Bacterial large subunit ribosomal RNA", at positions 659 to 1083 of the family's 2925-position model. Lineage: Bacteria; Pseudomonadati; Pseudomonadota; Gammaproteobacteria; Enterobacterales; Enterobacteriaceae. The record is from RNAcentral.
UAGGGGAGCCGGAGGGAAACCGAGUCUUAAYYGGGCGUUAAGUUGCAGGGUAUAGACCCGAAACCCGGUGAUCUAGCCAUGGGCAGGUUGAAGGUUGGGUAACACUAACUGGAGGACCGAACCGACUAAUGUUGAAAAAUUAGCGGAUGACCUGUGGCUGGGGGUGAAAGGCCAAUCAAACCGGGAGAUAGCUGGUUCUCCCCGAAAGCUAUUUAGGUAGCGCCUCGUGAAUUCAUCUCCGGGGGUAGAGCACUGUUUCGGCUAGGGGGCCAUCCCGGCUUACCAACCCGAUGCAAACUGCGAAUACCGGAGAAUGUUAUCACGGGAGACACACGGCGGGUGCUAACGUCCGUCGUGAAGAGGGAAACAACCCAGACCGCCAGCUAAGGUCCCAAAGUCAUGGUUAAGUGGGAAACGAUGUGGGAAG